This 2622-nucleotide ribosomal RNA is filed under the name Triticum aestivum (bread wheat). RNAcentral describes it as "partial small subunit ribosomal RNA". Lineage: Eukaryota; Viridiplantae; Streptophyta; Magnoliopsida; Poales; Poaceae. The record is from RNAcentral.
AUGGGCGGCGGCAGCCUGGCCAUCGUGGAGAAGAAGCCGCCUUUCGGGGGCGGGGGCGCGGGGGGCUGCGCCGGCGGCGUGCUGUUCCACCUCCUCGACUGGCACCGCCGGCUCGCGCGCAAGCGCCGCCUCUUCUCCCCGCGCCGCCUGCUGCCCUCCGCCGUCCGCAGCUCCUCGCUCCGCAGGCUCGCGCCGCCGCCGCCGCCCUCUCCGGCGGCCCCGCAGCCCCCUCGUCACGCGCCGAGCGCGGCCGCCGGAGCCGAUGGCAAAGACGCUGCCGCCCCUCCCGGCGUCGUCGCGCGCCUCAUGGGCCUCGAGUCCUGGCCCGCCGCGCCGCCCAGGCCGCAGAAGCAGAGGAAGGUGGAGUCGACGGCGUCGGCCGGGGGAGGAGACAGUGAGCCGGCGCCGGUGGUGGUGAUGCUGCCGCCGAGCCGGCGCCCGCCCGCGCCCGGGUCGCCCACGCACGCGCCGCGGAGCCACCACAGCGCCGACCUGCCGGCGAGGAGCCCCAGGCGGAGCCGGCUCGUGCACGCCGCCGCCUCGAGGCUGCUGGAGCCGGGCGCGCGCGCGAGCCCCAGGCUGCAGGCCAUCGCGUACGCCUGCUCCUCGCCGCAGCACCGCGGCCACCCCGGCGCCUCGCAGCAGAGCUGGGGCACGCUCGAGCUCGACGACUUCCUGUCUCGCUCCGAUAGCCUGUCGUUAGAGCGUCGCGCGCCUCCUCCACCGGAGCUGGAUGCAGAUCAACGGGGCAAUGCCGUCUGCUGGCAGGAGACAGACUCCAUGAACACCAUGAGCGGCACUGCUGCUGCAGGCUCGGUGACAAGCACUAGUCAUACCAUUGUGGUGCCAAGAGUGGAGUCCUACGAUGCACACACGAGUAGAGGCAGCAGCUCUGAUGUGGAUGCAAUGCAAAGAGAUUAUAGGGCAAGAACUGGGGGAAUGGGCAGUUAUCCUGGGGUCAGAUCGAGCGAUGCCGGUGCCGGUGCCGGCGCAAGAACUGGUGAACAGAGGAUGUUGCGCAAACGGGGAGCCUUGUCUAGGCCAGAUGUUCCAAGGAGGGCUGUGUCUGGGAACUUGGCUAGUUCAACGCGGUCGAUCGGCAAUGCUCGUGAAUCGGCACCUGCUGGUAGUAGGAGAGCAGCACACAAUUCUGGCAGUAGUAGUAUGAGGGCACCACAAAAUUCUGGUCCGAGGAGGGAGUCGAUGAGUUCGACCACCCGGCAAAGAAGCACACUAAGAGACGUGAUCGACCGAAAUGGGUCAGCGUCCACAAGUAGGGAUACAAGCAAUGCAUCUGGGCAGAGGAGAGGAUCACGCAAGAAAAUCGACCGCAGUACCGCAGCCAGUAACAGAGGAGGUCGUAACACAGUUGCAUUUGCCUCUAGUUCAUCCGCGAGACCGGUGUCCAGGGCUUCAUCGGACGACGGCAAAGUUUCAGAGCAUAGAGGGCUCCGAGGCACACACCCCGAUACCGGUUGCACAAGAACGCCAUUGGUAGAUGCCAAAUGUUCUGAAGCCGAACCUUGUGCCGUGAGCGCCACGUCUGAGAAAGAGGAAUUUAGGAGACUCCUGAAAGCAAAGGUGACCGAGCUUGGCCUGUCUGAUAGGGUUGAACCAGGUGAUGGUUGUUCGGCAAACUUGACUGUGUCGGUGCUCCAAGAGCUCAUUUCUGCCCUUACUAAUGACACAAACACCUCAGCAUCCCAGAGUAGUAACUAUUCGGAUUCAUCAGCUCCUUUGAAUAAUGCCGAGACUGUAUAUGAUUCCAAUGAUCAAUCACCUGAUUUUCGCAAGCGUUAUCAGUUCCAGGGUGACCAAGGGGCCGAUUCUUCCGCUACAUGCACAAACGAUGAGCCCAAUCAGCCGAGCCCGACAUCAGUCCUCGAAGCAUGCUUCUCAAACGAUGCUUCCUCCUCAGGAAGUCCAACUGAAAAGAUCGAGAGUACAGAAUUCUUUAUUUCAAUGGAGAACAAAAUGGAAGAUCUCUUCAAUCUUGAGUCUGACAUUGUUGACUUGUCCAUGUCCAUCGACACAACAAAGACUGAUGAUCAUGUCAGCAAUGCUGAAAUACCAUGUGUUCAAAGCUCUCCAGAGCAUGAUUUUGAAUUCCUAGAAGGCAGGCUCCACAGCAUUGGAGAGGCCAUUGCGAAUGCCGAGCUGCUUCUGGACAGUAGCCUCUUCUGUGGCACACCGUCAAGCCUAUCACUCCAUUCUUUCAUCGUCGAGAUGCUGGAGACCGUCGAAGCCGUCUUCGGCGUUGGAACGGAGGGCAGCUUCGGCUUCAAGGAAGAAAACAACUGCCAGCGCACCAACUUUCUGUUCGACUGCAUUGUCGAAUCGCUGGACUCGAAGUUCCGCGAUUUCGGGAAAUGCGGGUACAAGGCUUUGUUGCGAAUGCCCCUCACCCUGAGCAAGGACCUGCUGAAGAGGGAGAUAUCCGAAGAGAUCGGCAACUGGAGCGAGAUCUCGUCGGACCAGGCCGCCGAGAAGGAGCUUGACCAGGUGGUGGCGGCGAGGUGGGACGCGUGCCGGACCGAGGCGUUCGACAUCAGCGUCGCCAUCGAGGACGACAUACUCGAGGCCCUCGUCGGUGAGUUCGCCUUGGACCAAUGCUGCUACUGA